Long non-coding RNA from Triticum aestivum (bread wheat), 643 nucleotides. RefSeq lists it as uncharacterized. The transcript has 3 exons. The record is from RefSeq and is a predicted model, not a curated record. Lineage: Eukaryota; Viridiplantae; Streptophyta; Magnoliopsida; Poales; Poaceae.
UAGAUCAGAUAAGGAUGUGCGUUCAAACAAAUCAGAUCUGGACGGAAUCCCCUUUCUCUUUCUCUCUCCUCUCGCUCACGUCCCGAUGCAAUAACUGGAUCGAUGGUAGUACCAAAAGAGACCGAGAAAACAACCGUAUUUGGUUAUACGCACCGCCGGUUGGAUUGGAGGCAUGCAUGGACGUUUGGAGUCUAGGUGUGUCAACUACACAUUGUACGACAAAAUGAUCAUGGUCGUCGGCAUCAGAAGAUGGAAGAUGGAGAUUUCCUCGGCAACAACCAAGUACGGCGGCGCACGGCGAACUUGUGACUGCACCGGCAUGAGAAUUACAUAUGAAGGAUGGGGUUCCUGCUUCAGUGCGGCGGGACGACGAGGUUUUACGCGGCCACACGGCGAUGACAGCUGGAACCAUGUUACUCGCACAACUCCAGAGAUGAAUACAUGAUCAUGCAUGUCUGGCGGACGCCCAUGAUGCAUGUCUGGCAUCACGUUUGCAUGCAUCAUGUACGCACUACAUCGGGUACUUCAUACCAGAUGAAUCAAUUAAUAGUAUAUAAAUAAAGUUGCUCUUUUUUUUAAACAAAGUAUGUAAUAUUUCAUAGCUUUUUUUAGAACGGAUUGGCACACUGUCGCCAACCUAUAC